Long non-coding RNA from Melitaea cinxia (Glanville fritillary), 394 nucleotides. RefSeq lists it as uncharacterized. NCBI's taxonomy places the organism in Eukaryota, Metazoa, Arthropoda, Insecta, Lepidoptera, Nymphalidae. The record is from RefSeq and is a predicted model, not a curated record. The transcript is spliced from 2 exons.
UGUCAUAAUUUUGUCAAUGUCACUUACAAAAAAGAUAAACACUGUAUCGGCUUAAAAAUUGUAAUUACUUAAUAAAAUUAUAAAUACCAGUGUUUUUAAACAAGUGCUACAUAAAACACAUUCUCAUUUGUUAAACGUGUGUGUGUCAAACAUUUUCGGCGCCAAAAUGACAAAACAGCUCUCGAAAUCGGACACAGAAGAUUUGUGGUGGAAAUGGAGCAACUUACUUAGCAGAAACCACGGUCAUUGCAGACUGCAACAAUAAGCUAGGCAAACUUCAAAGCCUUAGUAUUAUGAUGCUAGUAAUAGCUCCACUCCUGUAUAUAUGCUUAUAUGGAUAUUUGUUUAUGGAGAUUCUAUAAAAAUAUAGUAAAAUAUAUACAAUGAAACUGUA